AGCUCUGAUAAUAUGAAAUCCUUGUACUAUGAUGAUGAUAGAACCUUUGCUAUCUAAGAUAUCAUUAUAGUUUAAAUUUGAUAAUUAAUGGCUUUGAAAAUUAAGUGUUUGUCUGUGGAUUGUAACCCGAAGAGUAAAAUAUGUUUGUUACACUUGGGGAAUUCCAGUCAAACUAAUGGUGCUGAAUUCAAGGGAUAAAAGAAAAAGACCACUUGGCAGGAGGUGCAACAGUGCUAAGAAUGGAAAAGGGAGGCCAUUCAGAAGUGCUCAGGAGAAAAAGUGCUGCAACCAUCUCUCUGAAACUCCUGGCAGAGGUGUUAGCACCAUCUCUGCUUGGCCCAGCCUUGACCACUGGCACUUCUGGCAGCAUCUCUCAGAAGCCAAUCCUUUAAGUCCCCCCAGCUACCAAAACCUGGCCACACAAAACCAAUACAGUAAGUGCUUUAAAUCCAAGAUGUGAGGUAGCUUUUAGAAUACUUUUAUUUUUCUUUUUUUCUUUGGGGGUGGGGAUUGUUAUUCUGUAGAAGUUGUAUUUUUUAUUUUCCUUUUUUCAUUGUAAAUGUGCAGCAUUUGCUGAUGGGAGCAUUUGCAGCCUUGAUGAGAGUUGUCUAGUAACAGUUGUCCACGUAGGUAUUUACAGUUUAAACAAGAAUAGUCUAGUCAGUGGUAAUUCUUAAGUCUAUUUUGGUUUGCUUUGCAUUUUUAAUAGCAUCCAUAAAUACCAUGGGGUGAUAGAUGGGGCUUUUUAUUUCUAGGAACAAUAAUAACGUAUAAGGUGGGUGUAUAAUAAGGUGUAUGUUUUUAGAUUUGAUAUAUGAAAUUUUAGUCUUUUAUGCAUAGAUGAACCUUGGUUAUAUUGUCAGUAUGUACUAAAAAACCACCUUUUUAGAGGAGAUUGCCAUUGCUAUAAAUAAUGUAUAUCUGAAUAUUCUUCAUUAGAAGUAGUUGCUCAUCUAAUCACUGUUCAAUCCCAUCUUUUCAGAAGAGGCAAACAUGUAGCUGUGAAAAUAAUCAAAAACUAUGGCAGCUGCUCCAAAGCAGUUGAUGAAGUCCUAGUACUGUAGUAUGUAAAGGCACUGGAUCCUGGCAGUACUCAAUGAAAUCGUCUGACUGACUAACUGAGCAUCAUUACCCCACCUGAGUCAUCUGGCAAUUUCCUUUUUGGCUAUGAAGACCACCCUCUCAUCUUAACCUGCAGCUAGGUGAGUCUGAGGCAGUAACUCUUCCUCAAGUGCUUGGGGGAAAUGUAGACAGAGGAGCUAACUUAAUGGCCUUAACUGCAGAGCUAUUUAAGCAACCUUUGCUGUAGCUAAGCAGAACACUCAUGAUGUAUCUUCAUACCUGAUACAUCAGCUGAUCAUUGCCUUGUUUUUACUACAGGCAGGGUAUAAUCAACAUGCAACAAAUCCACCUAUGUAACUAACAGUCUUAUAGAGGUCUUCAACUUUUCCUCAUCUCAAUUUGUCCUUAGAUUAUGGAAAUCAUGAGAUAAAAAGCUUCCAAAGAUAAGAGAACUCAACUGCAGAUCUUAGAGUGCUGUCUAAAACAGCUUAGCCAAUUCUGUUAGCAGGCUAAUAGGGCAUACUGGUGUCCAGUGUCAGUGCAAUUAUCAACACAUUGGUAAAAGCUGUUUGGAAAUACUGGAUCAGUUAUUUUCCAGGGCAGAACCACGGAGCUCCAUUGUUCUAGAAGAGUUGCUUCUCAGCCAAACUAUGGUUAAAUGCUUAAAGAGAGACUAAAACCCCUGGCUGCUGGCAUUCCAUCUGCUGGACAGACCACAGCAAACUCUUAAUACUCAAGAGAUUUUUGAGGUGCUUUGACAUUCAAACAGGUUCUAUAAAUCCAAGUAUGCUUCUGCAUGUACAGCAUGCCUAAAGCUGCCUAUUAGGACUGGAACACUGCUGCUAUACAAGUAAAACUGUACUGAACAGAAACUCUAAGAGCAUCCCCACUUCCUCUUAGCUGGAAAAAAGCUCCACCAAAAUGCUAAGUUACUCGUCACACCUGUUCAGUCACUAACUCUUCUUAUGGAAGUAACUGUGCGUGCAGAGAGACAGGCCUUUGCAUAUCCCAUACUUUGAGAGUUUUCUGGACGUUGACUGGGGGAUAGGUGGGUGGGUGGAUUUGUGGGAUUUUGUUGAGGGUUUUUUCUGUCAAUUUAUAAAAACUUAAAAGAGAACAAUGUAACUUCUAGCCAGUGGCUAAGACUGAAAUUCUUACUAUGUUAGAUGCUCCUUAGAUGUAUGCAUUAACCUGCAACAAGCAUGUGCUGGAGCUCCCCUGUAAUUCAGGGGUACCAGAUCCUAAGCUACACAUUCAGGACAGUUCUAGAAUGGUCAUCUAUUAGGAAAAGGUUAUUACAGUAAAUUCAGCAACAAGUCUGACUGCCAAAUAUUUUUGACUGGUGCAGAGAAAAUUCCAGUCAGCCUCAAGACUCUGCACUUAGCAUGGUCUCGUGUAAAAAAUUUACGGUGAACACAUGAAGGCACGGGUUUGCUUACUGACAGAAACCGACGUUUUUACCGUAAACAUAUCGCUGGCAGCCGGUCCUGGCAGUGGGCACGGUGCAGUA
This is a long non-coding RNA of Serinus canaria (Common canary), 2572 nucleotides long. RefSeq lists it as uncharacterized. The record is from RefSeq and is a predicted model, not a curated record. The transcript has 3 exons. Lineage: Eukaryota; Metazoa; Chordata; Aves; Passeriformes; Fringillidae.